AUUCCAGUCUCCUUGAGAGUGACGAAGCCACACCCCAAGGUGUCCCUCCCUUCCCAGAACCUACUGGAAUUAAAAGGGGCCGCCGCGAUACAAGGUUUCGAAAGAAGAGCUCACAGGAUCCUUGGAAGAAACAACUUGUGAGUUACAACUACUUAGUUAUGAUCAACAAGUGAGCCCCUGCAGACCUCACUGCCUUAAAUAUCAAUACCUCACGGAAUCAUCUAGAAAAUCAACUCGGAGAGACAAUGGUUAAGGGAAAAAUUAGAACUUUACAAAUGGGCAGCUCUGUUUCUCAUGCCUGUGAGUCCAAACUUACCAAUCGUCCCUGUGACAAAAAACCAAGAAACCCAAGGUCAUAAAAGGUAUCGGGAACUAAAGUUCUUCUAGAACAUUCAGCGGGAUUCCUGGACACCCAGUCUACCCUGGAGUCCCGUCUACAACAUCCCUUUGUUCCCUUUCCCCAAAUCCGGCAAAGUUAUCGGAUUCCUGGUGAGAUAAUCCUCCCUGUGCUCAUCCACCCCUGGCUGACGUGUGACCUUUUUUGCCGGAAUCGUUGAAAGCCAUUAGCGGUUUUAUUGUCUCUGAUUGCCGACGCUUGCCAGUCGUGCCGUGGCAUUUAUCAAGCUCCUGUUCCGCUGGGCGAGGAGCACUUCCGGCGUCGGUUUAAACUCCGCAAACUAAUUUCCCUUAAUUAGAAUCAGCUCAGCCUCAACACGCCGGGCUAAUGAGCUACUAAAGCGUUUGCCAGGGCAGUCUGCAGCAAAAAGAAACACAGAACUAGCUGGCACUUGGCAAAAUGAAGAGGUAUUGAACUUUCGGGGGAAGGAAGUCAUUUCUCCGACAAGGUUUGGGGGAUUGAACCCCACAGGGAAUCCAGGGCGCUCUCCCAGGCAGUGGCCUCCUGAGGAGGAGGUGGGUGGCAGGUGGUACGUUGCUUUAACCCUGAGGACCCUGCGUCCCCAUUCCCUUCACCGUCACCUUCGUCGCCUGCUACGGCCACGUCCGAGAUGGCGUCUGACCAAUCCGCAGCCCGGAAGAAGAAAGGCAUUCCUUUCUUCUGUGAAAUCGUGGGGAAGCCGACUCGCUCCUUGGAGAAACCUCCACCGAUGGCUUCAUUUUACUGCUCAAGUAGCUUCAGGACAGAGGCUUGCCUUGGAAGCCAGGAGGUCUGCAUGCACUUGGGCAGACCACUCCACACCUUAACCUUGGGCUCCAAUUACAUCUUCAGUAGAAUAGGGAUCGUGAGACCUCCCCUGCUUUCAAGAACGAAGUUUCGUGCAGUUGAAUCUGCCCAAGAUCUGCCCCAGGACCGGAAGGUCUGAAGAAACUCCGUUUCAGAGACCGAAUUAUCCUCACUGACGUCGGGUUCUCCCCGGGCGUGCCUGGCGGAGGUGUGCUGUGUGAAGGUCAGGCCCCCGGAGAGGUGCAGCUGGCGACCAAAGAGCCAGGUGGACGCAGAGCUUUCAUCUGCAAGACGACUGAACCAGACGCCUUCUUUAACACUCAGCAAAGAACUAGCCCCCGUGGCCCAUGCCCGCAAAGAACACGGAGAAGAAAGGGGUUUUGUCUGGGACUCCAGUCCAGGGACACGAAACAAGCCAAAAACGGUCACAAAGGUGGCACCUGAACAGGUCACAUGUCAGCGAGAAAGGAGACAAGGCAACUCACAAUGGAGACAUCUCGCAAAGACCACCUUAAGCGAGUGGUCAGAAUAAACAUCGCUGGUGAUGAAGCAAACUGCCAUCACACAGUUCGUAAUGCGAAGCAAUGAGAAGUGCAUGUCACUGAGGCGGCUUUCUUGCCCAAAAUGCUCCUGGUUACUGGGGUGUCAAUACUUCUAGGCCCUUCUCUUUGACCUUAAGAGAGGCAAAUCCAGGUGCGGGGAUUCUAGAAGACAGCUGGCCUGGAUUCGUCAUUUACACACACACACACACACACACACACCAGCAUUCAUCGUACGCUUAUUUCUACUUUUCU
Microcebus murinus (gray mouse lemur) is the source of this 1977-nucleotide non-coding RNA. The record is from RefSeq and is a predicted model, not a curated record. NCBI's taxonomy places the organism in Eukaryota, Metazoa, Chordata, Mammalia, Primates, Cheirogaleidae.